GAUUCGCAGAGGUAGCGAAAACAGUGCCAACAGAGCUUCCGUGUACCGGAAGCUGAUCAAGAGCCACACCCGUGAAAGGUUACAGUGCCGUCGUAUCUUGUCACUAAUGACAAUGCUGAGUCGCCAAAUUUACCCACAAGGAAGCUCUGUUCAAAUUGAUGAAGGCUGAAUCAAGGAGAGUAUCGAACAAUUAUUCAAACAAACAGAUCAUCAUCCAGCAUGGCUGAUUCUUUGAAAGAAUGUCGUAUGUCUUCAUUAUGCCAUUGAAUAUCAACAGAGAGGGACUGCAAGUACUCUUCAUCUGACUUUUGGUGAAGACUGCUAUAGAAGCUAAUGGGUUGGCAAUCUUUUUACAAGAGCUACGCCUGCAAGGAGCUGAUGGGGAUCAACAGCAACGAGGAGUGGAGAACGUGAAGGAUGAGAAGUUGGCUGUUGUGGAGGACAAAGCAGCAGCAUUGGGGUUGAGGCGAUUGAAUGGCUACGAAAGGAGACGAUUGUUACUUCUAUUAUAAUACUGAAUGUCUGAAGGGUGACCAAUGCCCUUUCUGUCACAGUCAAGCUGCACUCGGUAACAACACUGUCUGUGCAUUGUGGCUACAAGGGUCGUGCUUUUGAUCAGCAU
Corticium candelabrum is the source of this 622-nucleotide long non-coding RNA. RefSeq lists it as uncharacterized. The record is from RefSeq and is a predicted model, not a curated record. NCBI's taxonomy places the organism in Eukaryota, Metazoa, Porifera, Homoscleromorpha, Homosclerophorida, Plakinidae. The transcript has 6 exons.